Molecule: long non-coding RNA, 1340 nt
Organism: Heterocephalus glaber (naked mole-rat)
Lineage: Eukaryota; Metazoa; Chordata; Mammalia; Rodentia; Bathyergidae
Source: RefSeq, a predicted model, not a curated record
GGUUUUGGAGUGACAGAUAAGGGGUUGGCUUAGGGCAGGGCUCUAAGGAGAAAAGGCUGGGGUAAUAAGUGGAGUUGGGUCAAGUCCAUUGCAGAAUCUUCUCGCGGUCUGAUCGCACAGUCCCGACUGUCAUUCUACCGAGUUGGAAAGCCACAUGGAGAGCAGUGUUCCAGAUGACCAUAAGCCCAGCAUACCCUUAGUAGAAAAGUCUCCUCAUGUUCAGACAUAUAAUGCAGAGCCUACUCAGUCCUCAAGAAAAGGAUCUCAGGGCCCACCAGGGCACACAGACUUCAUGGAGUGGACACGGACACCAGCGAUGGGACAGAUACUUAAUCAAAGAGACAUCACUCACAUUGAAGGAGCACACACUUCACUGAAGGAGAUACGGAUACAGACUUUGCCAAGGAGAUUGGACCCCAAUGAGAGGACUCCAACCCCACCGAAGAGCCUUCAAAUACACUGAAGGAGUGAAUAUCACUGAGGGGACACAGACUUCACUUAGUGGGGACAGGUCCCACUAAGGAGAUCAGACCUCACAGAAGCAAAAUAGGACUUCACUGAGGAAAUAAUGUCCUCUCUGUGGGGAGGAAGCACGUGUAAUUCUACCUAUAGAUAUUGAGACAGUCAUCAUAUCCACCCACCUCCACCACACAGCUCUGAGUGACCCUGUCUCUCCUUUCAAUCUCUCCCAGCCCUUUCUCUAAAACCCAACAGUUUCCUACCCACUGCCGUCACCUCCUGUCUACAGGUGGUACUGCAGCAGCUGUGCCCAUAGUAAAUGCUAAAGCUGAUUGUCUUUGAGCCCGGAGUCUGGUGUUAGGGAAAGAGUAGUGUGUCCAGGGGCUUGACCUGCUUCCUCCAUCUGCCUGUGGGCUGUGUAAUAGAUAUCUGGAGUACAGGACUCGGAAAGAAAACAUCUCUCAUCCUUAGGAGGUGAAGAAGUAGCACAAGCUGUAGUGCAGUUGCAAUUCCUGAAAAUGUGGAGGGGAUGGAUGGGUUUGGACAGAAUGAGAAUCCACAAGAUUAAAGUAAUGAUGCUGAUGGCAUUGAGUAACUGCCAAGCCCUUCACAAGGCACCUUCCAACCCUUAUUUAAUCCUCCUCAUAAAUCUUUAAAACGAAUACUAUUGUUCUUUCCAUCUUAAACAUGAAGGAGACUGUUUAACUCAAGAUCACACAUACUUUGGCAGUACUAUCAGAAACAGAACUCAGAUAUCUAGACUAUAGAGACCCAUUCUCUCCCUUUUAUCCUCCCCAUUCCCCCCUCAACCCCAUCUUCCCAGACUAUUACUUUUUUUCUCAAAAUGUCCUUUCCAGAACCACAUCAAAAAACUCUUAAAA